CUACUCGAGGCAUCAUCUUGCGGUAAUAAGAAUCUCACCUUGCGAUAUCGUCUCUCGUCUUCCCGAGUCUCCUGUCUUGUGCUCGAUCCAUCUCCAAUUGGAGCUCCACCUCGCUCUGAGCUCCACCUGGCUCCCGAAGCUCCACCUCUCACUAGGCUUCCUAUCAGGUAAUAAUAUCUUCUGCUCCCCUUCUUCCCCUCUAGCACAAUCCUAUCAUCGCGAAGCACCUUCAGGAUUCCUCCACCAGCUACCGUCUUGUAGCCUUUCGAAUCCAGUCUGCUAAGUGAGAUAAGACUCUGCUUG
RNAcentral lists this long non-coding RNA (303 nucleotides) under Elaeis guineensis (African oil palm). RNAcentral describes it as "long non-coding RNA (EGUI_LNC008826)". Lineage: Eukaryota; Viridiplantae; Streptophyta; Magnoliopsida; Arecales; Arecaceae. The record is from RNAcentral.